GACGAACGCUGGCGGCGUGCCUAAUACAUGCAAGUUGAGCGCUGAAGGUUGGUCCUUGUACCAACUGGAUGAGCAGCGAACGGGUGAGUAACGCGUGGGGAAUCUGCCUUUGAGCGGGGGACAACAUUUGGAAACGAAUGCUAAUACCGCAUAAAAACUUUAAACACAAGUUUUAAGUUUGAAAGAUGCAAUUGCAUCACUCAAAGAAGAUCCCGCGUUGUAUUAGCUAGUUGGUGAGGUAAAGGCUAACCAAGGCGAUGAUACAUAGCCGACCUGAGAGGGUGAUCGGCCACAUUGGGACUGAGACACGGCCCAAACUCCUACGGGAGGCAGCAGUAGGGAAUCUUCGGCAAUGGACGAAAGGCUGAACGAGCAACGCCGCGUGAGUGAAGAAGGUUUUCGGAUCGUAAAACUCUGUUGGUAGAGAAGAACGUUGGUGAGAGUGGAAAGCUCAUCAAGUGACGGUAACUACCCAGAAAGGGACGGCUAACUACGUG
This 497-nucleotide ribosomal RNA is filed under the name uncultured bacterium. Its description in RNAcentral is "partial 16S ribosomal RNA". It matches the Rfam family "Bacterial small subunit ribosomal RNA", at positions 28 to 507 of the family's 1533-position model. The record is from RNAcentral.